This 118-nucleotide ribosomal RNA is filed under the name Pteropus alecto (black flying fox). Lineage: Eukaryota; Metazoa; Chordata; Mammalia; Chiroptera; Pteropodidae. The record is from RNAcentral.
GUCUAUGGCCAUGACACCUUAAACAAGCCUGAUCCCAUCUGAUCUCGGAAGCUAAGCAGGGUCAGGGCUGGCUAGUACUUGGAUGGGAGACCACCAGGAAGACCAGGUGCUGUAGGUA